RNAcentral lists this ribosomal RNA (242 nucleotides) under uncultured bacterium. RNAcentral describes it as "partial 16S ribosomal RNA". It matches the Rfam family "Bacterial small subunit ribosomal RNA", at positions 524 to 764 of the family's 1533-position model. The record is from RNAcentral.
UACGAAGGGGGCUAGCGUUGUUCGGAAUCACUGGGCGUAAAGCGCACGUAGGCGGAUGUGCCAGUCAGGGGUGAAAUCCCGGGGCUCAACCUCGGAACUGCCUUUGAUACUGCAAAUCUCGAGUCCGGAAGAGGUGAGUGGAAUUCCUAGUGUAGAGGUGAAAUUCGUAGAUAUUAGGAAGAACACCAGUGGCGAAGGCGGCUCACUGGUCCGGUACUGGACGCUGAGGUGCGAAAGCGUGG